RNAcentral lists this unclassified non-coding RNA (1289 nucleotides) under Hevea brasiliensis (rubber tree). The record is from RNAcentral. Lineage: Eukaryota; Viridiplantae; Streptophyta; Magnoliopsida; Malpighiales; Euphorbiaceae.
UUAUUAUUAUUAUUUUAUUCAUCAAACAUUACAUUUGGCUGGCCUUUCCAAAUAAAAUACAAAACCAAAAUUAGAAAUCAAUUAAAAAAAUAAUAAUAAUAACUCUUAUUCACCUUCACGUUUUUGUUAUCCAUUUCAGGUUUUAUGGAUAAUCAACACCCGGUAAGUUUCCAAAGGAACAGGUCAAUCAGUGUGCUGCAGUUAGCUGCUCCUCGUUUCCCAGAGGAAUAGAGGUAGUUCUCUUGUUUGGUUGUGUUUGUGAUUGCCCCAAAACAAUGUUGUUACCCAUCCCGUUUCCUUGGUUUUCCAUCAGAUGUUGGGGAUAGCCUGGUUUUGGUUGAGCUUCUGAAUGCUUCUUGUCUGGAGGCAAAACUCGGUCUAGAAACCUAUGUAUCAUCUCGUAAGAGGUAAAUGUAAUGACAGCAGAUGGGGUUGUUCUCAUUAAAUUUGUUGCACAGCCCCGGUAAAAUCCAGGAAAACCUUCCUUUUGGAACACCUUCUUAACACAAUCAACAACCCCACGAUAUUGGACCUCAGAAUUUCUGACUUGCCCUUGCUCUUGAAGCCUUGAUCGCACAACCUCGUGAGGAUAAGUCAUUACAGAGGCAAUCACUUUGGAUGUUGAAGCAGCGAUUGCAACAUCCCCAGCACUUAGCUUAUCAACAGAAGUAUUAUCCUUUUUAGCCACAUAAUACUUAAUCUUUUCAUACGCCGGAAAUUGAAUUGCAACAUGACUUAUCCCAGCCAAAGAAGGCAGAAUGCCACUAUACAACCCUCGCAUGCCUUCCUCGUGUAUAAUCCUUCUAAAAGCAGAAAGUAUGCUUUUAUAGGGAACCACAUCUGGUCUCAUUCCUUGUGUUUGGAGUCUGGUUUUCACUACCCACAACGGAUUUGUAGCGAUGGCUGUGGCAGCCCCAGCACCUGCGGCAGCUGCCAUGUUUGCACCAAUACCAAUUGUGAGUUAGCUAUUUCCAUCCCCAUGUGAAAGAAGGAUGCCUUUGAGUUGCUCAUAAACUGUGAAAUACACAGUCCAGUUUGGAAGUAGAGCUAUUAUUGUUGGAGAGAGACCUCGAUACAAUCCCUUAAAACCUUCAUUCCUAAUUAUGUUCUUGAGACUUGUGACAAUGAUGCUACCUGUGCGACCUGAAUUGGAAGUUGAGGGCAAUCCAUGGACCUGCAACCUUGUCUUGAUCACAUCCAAUGGGCAAACGACAGUAGCCGCAAUAGCACCUGCAGCAGCACCAGCACCGGCGUGGCAUAUUAAUUCUCUGGGGGUUCGAUUAUGGGAU